This 450-nucleotide ribosomal RNA is filed under the name uncultured Glomeromycotina. RNAcentral describes it as "SSU rRNA". It matches the Rfam family "Eukaryotic small subunit ribosomal RNA", at positions 569 to 1024 of the family's 1831-position model. Lineage: Eukaryota; Fungi; Glomeromycota. The record is from RNAcentral.
AGCAGCCGCGGUAAUUCCAGCUCCAAUAGCGUAUAUUAAAGUUGUUGCAGUUAAAAAGCUCGUAGUUGAAUUUCGGGAUCAGAGUGUCGGUCGUGCCUCGGUACGCACUGGUAUUAUUGGUUCCUACCUUCUGAAGAACUGCGAUGUCAUUAAUUUGGUGUCGUGGGGAAUCAGGACUGUUACUUUGAAAAAAUUAGAGUGUUUAAAGCAGGCUUACGCUUGAAUACAUUAGCAUGGAAUAAUGAAAUAGGACAUUUGAUUCUAUUUUGUUGGUUUCUAGGAUUGACGUAAUGAUUAAUAGGGAUAGUUGGGGGCAUUAGUAUUCAAUUGUCAGAGGUGAAAUUCUUGGAUUUAUUGAAGACUAACUACUGCGAAAGCAUUUGCCAAGGAUGUUUUCAUUAAUCAAGAACGAAAGUUAGGGGAUCGAAGACGAUCAGAUACCGUCGUAGU